Long non-coding RNA from Rosa chinensis, 1062 nucleotides. RefSeq lists it as uncharacterized. NCBI's taxonomy places the organism in Eukaryota, Viridiplantae, Streptophyta, Magnoliopsida, Rosales, Rosaceae. The transcript has 4 exons. The record is from RefSeq and is a predicted model, not a curated record.
ACGUUCAGAACCAGAAAGGAAGGAAGAGAGAGAGAAAGAGAAAGAAAGAAGGAGAGAAAGAAAAGGAGAUCCGUCCAAACCAUCGACAUUUUGGAGAAACCUCAAGUUGAGAAAAAUGCUAGGAAGGUUGAGAUGAAGCUGCUACCAAAAUUUGGUGACAAUUGGAGAAGUUGGCCGCCUCGUGAACAGUGGUGCCGCGUGAAUAGUGCAGCGCGUGAAUAGUGACUUAAAUUCUGUGUUUAGCUAAUUAAAUCACAUAAUUGAGGACGACGUACCGAGCUAUUGCUCGAUGACGGAACUCGAAUGCGUGAUCGUCGGAAUAGUACCUUUGCAGGCUAGGUUAAUUGAGGUCGGGCGUACAUGGAGUCGAGGCAUAGCCAACAGCAUUGCUUCCGCGUACUCAAUUCUAUUUUUGUUUUCGUUAUUAUCUAGUGGGUUAGUAUUGCUCUAAUAAUCUAUGGGAUCAAUAUUGUAUUGGGGUUGAGACAAUUAUAUGUGAAUUGGAAGAUGUUGUGUUUUGGGGAGCAGGAUGGCUCCAGGAGAAUAAGGAUGGGUAAUUAGAAGUGUAAAUUUCCUUUUUCCAGGUUUUGGGUAGUCCAUUUUAGGGGAAGUUCUGCCAAAUGUUUGGAAGAAUUUCUUCUAAGGUGGACCCCGCAGGGCCACUUCGGACUUCGGGUCCUGUCAAUUUGAAUUGAUGCUUUAUGUUUAAGUUCUUUGAUUGCACCUUAGGGCGUUGCAUAUAGUAAUUGGAAGACAAAUUUCAAGUAGAGAUGCAAUAUAAUUUGAUUAGCUUCUUGUCAUUAAGUGUGGUAAAUUACAUUAUUCCUUGAGAAAGACUAAUGGUUUGCUUGAUUCCCUUGUUUUCUAAAGCGUAAUGAGUCUUGUAUGUUAAAUUUAUACCUGAGAAGGAUAAACUGCAUAGUAAGGGUAUAAGAUCUUUACCCGAGAGGGAGAGAAUCAUACACUUAAGGAAAACUAUGGUCUAGAGUACUUGAGAAGGACUUAGAUACGGGAAUUAUCAUCUAGAGAAACAAAAGAAUCUGUUAAUUACAUUGAAACAUA